RNAcentral lists this long non-coding RNA (554 nucleotides) under Sorghum bicolor (sorghum). RNAcentral describes it as "long non-coding RNA (SBIC_LNC013245)". The record is from RNAcentral. Lineage: Eukaryota; Viridiplantae; Streptophyta; Magnoliopsida; Poales; Poaceae.
GUAUCAGCCCAACCUGUGAUCGAAGGAUCAGAGGCCCCUACGCACAAUCAAGGAACAAUUAAUAGAAAACAAGAGACAAACAACUCAACUUUAAAAAGAAAAGCAACAUUUUCAAAACUCACCAGGACGAGUAACGUUAGCAGGCGAAGGCCUGCUGGCCAGCGCAGACGGCGCAGGAAAGCGGGGCGGACGAACAGCAAGCCCUUCCUGCGCAAUGCUGGCGCCUUUAGCCAACUCCUCCGUGGUGGCAAGCCCAACAAAAACAUCCUCUGAAAAAUAUACAAAAAAAACAUGAGACCAAGUCAAUCAAAAUAUGCAGAAAAAACAAGAAUCAGCAAAAACAAAAUCUUUACCCAUGUACAGCGAGUUUAUACCAUCUCCAGCUGGACGCGGGGGAGCCUCCGCCCUCUUUAUCCUCCGAAGAGAGACAGACUCUGCGUCAUCACUGGAUUCCCCCUGCAUCUCCUUCGGUGGAGAUCCUCCACUGGCAGAAGCCUCUCGCGCAGGACCUUCCGCCAACGCAGGAUUCGCCUCCCGCGCAGGACUCGCCCCAG